This 22-nucleotide microRNA is filed under the name Pongo abelii (Sumatran orangutan). RNAcentral's name for it is "Pab-Mir-430-P33b_5p* (star (passenger))". The record is from RNAcentral. RNAcentral also lists the same sequence under 1 other name. Lineage: Eukaryota; Metazoa; Chordata; Mammalia; Primates; Hominidae.
UCUAGAGGAAGCACUUUCUGUU